This is a long non-coding RNA of Oncorhynchus tshawytscha (Chinook salmon), 724 nucleotides long. Lineage: Eukaryota; Metazoa; Chordata; Actinopteri; Salmoniformes; Salmonidae. The record is from Ensembl.
CUAGUGGUUAGAGUGGAGGGACGGCAGGUUGCCUAGUGGUUAGAGUGGAGGGACGGCAGGUAGCCUAGUGGUUAGAGUGGAGGGACGGCAGGUAGCCUAGUGGUUAGAGUGGAGGGACGGCAGGUAGCCUAGUGGUUAGAGUGGAGGGACGGCAGGUAGCCUAGUGGUUAGAGUGGAGGGACGGCAGGUAGCCUAGUGGUUAGAGUGGAGGGACAGCAGGUAGCCUAGUGGUUAGAGUGGAGGGACGGCAGGUAGCCUAGUGGUUAGAGUGGAGGGGAGGCAGGUAGCCUAGUGGUUAGAGUGGAGGGACAGCAGGUUGCCUAGUGGUUAGAGUGGAGGGAGGCAGGUAGCCUAGUGGUUAGAGUGGAGGGACGGCAGGUUGCCUAGUGGUUAGAGUGGAGGGACGGCAGGUUGCCUAGUGGUUAGAGUGGAGGGACGGCAGGUUGCCUAGUGGUUAGAGUGGAGGGACGGCAGGUUGCCUAGUGGUUAGAGUGGAGGGGACGGCAGGUAGCCUAGUGGUUAGAGUGGAGGGACGGCAGGUAGCCUAGUGGUUAGAGUGGAGGGGACGGCAGGUUGCCUAGUGGUUAGAGUGGAGGGGACGGCAGGUAGCCUAGUGGUUAGAGUGGAGGGACGGCAGGUAGCCUAGUGGUUAGAGUGGAGGGACGGCAGGUAGCCUAGUGGUUAGAGUGGAGGGACAGCAGGUAGCCUAGUGGUUAGAGUGGAG